CCAACAGGGAUUGCCCUAGUAACGGCGAGUGAAGCGGCAACAGCUCAAAUUUGAAAUCUGGCCCCAGGCCCGAGUUGUAAUUUGCAGAGGAUGCUUCGGGCGCGGUGCCUUCCAAGUCCCCUGGAACGGGGCGCCAUGGAGGGUGAGAGCCCCGUAUGGUCGGACACCAAGCCUAUGUGAAGCUCCUUCGACGAGUCGAGUAGUUUGGGAAUGCUGCUCUAAAUGGGAGGUAGACCCCUUCUAAAGCUAAAUACCGGCUAGAGACCGAUAGCGCACAAGUAGAGUGAUCGAAAGAUGAAAAGAACUUUGAAAAGAGGGUUAAACAGCACGUGAAAUUGUUAAAAGGGAAGCGCUUGUGACCAGACUUGCGCCGGGGCGAUCAUCUGGCGUUCUCGCCGGUGCACUCGCCCCGGCCCAGGCCAGCGUCGGUUCGGGAGGGGGGACAAGGACGUUGGGGACGUGGCUCCCCCGGGAGUGUUACAGCCCAGCGUGUCAUGCCCCCGCCCGGACCGAGGUUCGCGCUCUGCAAGGACGCUGGCGUAAUGGUCAUCAGCGGCCCGUCUUGAAACACGGACCAAGGAGUCGAGGUUCUGCGCGAGUGUUUGGGUGCCAAACCCGCACGCGUAAUGAAAGUGAACGUAGGUGGGAGCCUCGGCGCACCACCGACCGAUCCUGAUGUUUUCGGAUGGAUUUGAGUACGAGCGUUGGGCCUCGGACCCGAAAGAUGGUGAACUAUGCUUGGAUAGGGUGAAGCCAGAGGAAACUCUGGUGGAGGCUCGCAGCGGUUCUGACGUGCAAAUCGAUCGUCAAAUCUGAGCAUGGGGGGCGAAAGACUAAUCGAACCAU
This 846-nucleotide ribosomal RNA is filed under the name Gongromeriza myriocarpa. RNAcentral's name for it is "Ejnerjensenia myriocarpa partial large subunit ribosomal RNA". It matches the Rfam family "Eukaryotic large subunit ribosomal RNA", at positions 65 to 943 of the family's 3401-position model. Lineage: Eukaryota; Fungi; Ascomycota; Sordariomycetes; Chaetosphaeriales; Chaetosphaeriaceae. The record is from RNAcentral.